GGGAAUAUAGCUCAGUUGGUAGAGCAUUGCCUUUGCAAGGCAAGGGCCAAGGGUUCGAAUCCCUUUAUUUCCA
Molecule: transfer RNA, 73 nt
Filed under: Tetradesmus obliquus
Lineage: Eukaryota; Viridiplantae; Chlorophyta; Chlorophyceae; Sphaeropleales; Scenedesmaceae
Description: Scenedesmus obliquus tRNA
Rfam family: tRNA
About the family: Transfer RNA (tRNA) molecules are approximately 80 nucleotides in length. Their secondary structure includes four short double-helical elements and three loops (D, anti-codon, and T loops).
Source: Rfam by way of RNAcentral